RNAcentral lists this ribosomal RNA (461 nucleotides) under uncultured bacterium. RNAcentral's name for it is "partial 16S ribosomal RNA". It matches the Rfam family "Bacterial small subunit ribosomal RNA", at positions 338 to 795 of the family's 1533-position model. The record is from RNAcentral.
CCUACGGGUGGCAGCAGUGAGGAAUAUUGGUCAAUGGGCUUACGCCUGAACCAGCCAAGUCGCGUGAGGGAAGACUGCCCUAUGGGUUGUAAACCUCUUUUGUCAGGGAGCAAUUGGCGCUACGUGUAGCGUUAUCGAGAGUACCUGAAGAAAAAGCAUCGGCUAACUCCGUGCCAGCAGCCGCGGUAAUACGGAGGAUGCGAGCGUUAUCCGGAUUUAUUGGGUUUAAAGGGAGCGUAGGUGGAUUGUUAAGUCAGUUGUGAAAGUUUGCGGCUCAACCGUAAAAUUGCAGUUGAAACUGGCAGUCUUGAGUACAGUAGAGGUGGGCGGAAUUCGUGGUGUAGCGGUGAAAUGCUUAGAUAUCACGAAGAACUCCGAUUGCGAAGGCAGCUCACUGGACUGCAACUGACACUGAUGCUCGAAAGUGUGGGUAUCAAACAGGAUUAGAUACCCCUGUAGUC